Molecule: ribosomal RNA, 498 nt
Filed under: uncultured bacterium
Lineage: Bacteria
Description: bacterial SSU rRNA
Rfam family: Bacterial small subunit ribosomal RNA
Source: RNAcentral
GACGAACGCUGGCGGCGUGCUUAACACAUGCAAGUCGAACGGGCUGAAGUGAUAGCUUGCUAUUAUGGAUGCUAGUGGCAAACGGGUGAGUAACGCGUAUCCAACCUACCCUUGUCCAUCGGAUAACCCGUCGAAAGGCGGCCUAACACGAUAUGCGGUUCACCGCAGGCAUCUAAGGUGAACGAAAUGUGAAGGAGAAGGAUGGGGAUGCGUCUGAUUAGCUUGUUGGCGGGGUAACGGCCCACCAAGGCGACGAUCAGUAGGGGUUCUGAGAGGAAGGUCCCCCCACAUUGGAACUGAGACACGGUCCAAAACUCCUACGGGAGGCAGCAGUGAGGAAUAUUGGUCAAUGGGCGAGAGCCUGAACCAGCCAAGUAGCGUGCAGGAUGACGGCCCUAUGGGUUGUAAACUGCUUUUAUAAGGGAAUAAAGUGAGUCUCGUGAGACUUUUUGCAUGUACCUAUGAAUAAGGACCGGCUAAUUCCGUGCCAGCAGCCGC